RNAcentral lists this long non-coding RNA (673 nucleotides) under Carassius auratus (goldfish). RNAcentral describes it as "lncRNA (ENSCARG00000044188.1)". The record is from RNAcentral. Lineage: Eukaryota; Metazoa; Chordata; Actinopteri; Cypriniformes; Cyprinidae.
AUGAUUUGUUUUCAUUAUGUUUUAGAAAAACUGCAUCAUGAUCAGAGGCAGCUGGACCUGUUCUUUGGUCUCCUCGGUGGGGUCAUGAUUGUAACCUCUGACCACAGGCCAGGAGAAACCAUGAACCUCACCGUGGAGGAAUUUCAUUCCUUUAAAGAGGGCAGAGAUGGCCAUGACAUUUGUGUGAGGGUUGUAGUAGUCAUUGUUUUGUUUGCAUUUGUCUGUUUAUAUAUAUAUAGUCGUACACUUAUUCAUAAUUAUCUUACUUCACAGGUAAAAAAGCACAAAACAUGUGCAACAUUCGGUCAUGUGAUACUCUCCAUCACAAAGGGGGAGUAUAAUUGCAUGUCCGAAUUUCUAAAAAUCCGUGGAAGCUUUGAGGGGAGCCAGUCAGCCCUCUUCUUUUUUAAUUCGAAGGGUGAGGUGUUCAAGGGCCUCCUCAAAGCUUUCACUGCUGCAUGGGAGUUUGUGGGCCUCCCAAAACCGGCCCCAACUUUCAUGGCCUUGAGGACCUCUAUGUCCACUCAGAAAACCUUUUGGAUCCAGCUGCCCAUGCUGAGUUUGUGAGGGCCACUUCGGAGGUGCUUCCCAAAAUACUGCGUAAGUUACAAGGCUUUUGGUCGAUUCCAGACAACAAAAUACAAAAGUGGAUUAAGAGUUUGAUUUCAUAGUU